CGGGGCGGCCCCGAGCCGCCUGCAGCGGCGCCGCGCCGGGCGCCCUCGGCCUUCCCGUCCCGCUCUCCGGCCUCAGCGCCUCCCCGGGGCCGUGCGGGAGUCUCGGGGGCUCCGGGUCGCUUGUGCUGAACUCGGGAGAUCAUCGUGUGCCAAGCACAGGCACCGCUGUGUGCUUGCGAGGGAGCGUGAGGCGCCCCGGGCGAGGAGCCCAGCCCGCCGAUGCGGGCAGCACGGGAGGAUGCAGGCGACGGGAGGAGCUGUCGCGCAGGAUGUUCCCCGUUGUGCACGGACUGACGUGUGCAGCACAUGAUGUCUUCAGAAGAGGACUUUCCAGAGGAUGCCAGCUUUUCCUCCGGCAUCAGCACCAGCCGGCUGCAGCAGGAAAUGCCGCCAGAUGCCUCCAAAGACCUGCGGUGCUCCAUCUGCCUCAACACACUUGACGACACCGCCUACAUCACCGUCUGCAUGCACCGGUUCUGCUUCAGCUGUAUCUGGCAGAUAUGCAGGCGACGGGAGGAGCUGUCGGGUGAGUGCCCCCCAGCAGCGAGGGAGCAAAGCUAAAGCCCGAGGUGGCACGGGGGGGCCUGAGCAGCCUGCUCCCAGGGCCUCGGCUGUGCCUGCGGUGUGCGCAGCAGGGGGUCCCCCAGCGGUGCCUUCCUCCUUCUGGAGGCAUGGUGGCCCUGGGAGCAUCUGCAAAGCCCCAGGUCCAAGGUGGUUGGAGGGGGGCUGUUUCUGGGGCUGUGCAAUGGGUGCAGGUGCUGCGCUGCAGAGGCAGCAGCUGGCGCAUGCUCCACCCACAGGAAAGGCCCGUGCGCUCAAAGAAGCAGGAGCGCAGUUACAGCUGAGCUCCGGGGUGGGCCAGCCUCAGGGACAUCCCCUCUGCUGUCCCUCUGCCCGGAGAUGCUUUGGCAAACCACAGGAUCACCGAAUCACCAAAGAAUGGUUGGGGUUGGAAGGGACCUCCGGAGAGCCUCUAGUCCAGCCUCCCUGCUCAAGCAGGGUCCCCUAGAGCAGCUUAGCCAGCACCCUGUCCAGGUGCCUUUGCAAUAGCUCCAAGGAUGGAGCCUCCACAACGUCUCUGGGCAACCUCUUGCAGUGCUCUGGCACCCUCACACGAGGAAAGUUGUUCCUUCUGUUCAGACGCAACUUCCUGUGUUUCGCUUGGUGCCCGCUGCCUCUCGUCCUGUCCCUGGGCACCACUGAAGAGAGCCUGCCACCAUCCUCUUUACACCCUCCCCUCAGUUAUUUAUCGGCAUCGAUAAGAUUCCCCCAUCAGUCUUCGCUCCUCCAGGCUCCACAGGCCCAGCUCUCCCAGCCUUUCCUCACAGCAGAGAUGCUCCAGUCCCUUCCUCCUCUUCGGAGCCCUUUGCUCCACUGGCUCCACAUCUGUCUUGUACUGCGGAGCUCCGAACUGGACACAGUACGCCAGGGCUGGCCUCAGCAGGGUGGCUGAGGAGAGCACAUCACCUGCCUGGACCUGCUGGCAAGGCUCUGCUCUUCCUAAUGCAGCCCAGGAUGCCAUUGACUGCCCUUGCCGCAAGGGCCCAUUGCUGGCUCAUGGUCCACUUGUUGCCCCCCAGGACUCCCAGGUCCUGCUCGGCAGAGCUGCUUCCCAGCAGGUCGGGCCCAGCAUGUCCUGCUGCCUGCGCUUAGUCCUCCCCAGGAGCAGGA
Long non-coding RNA from Dromaius novaehollandiae (emu), 1671 nucleotides. RefSeq lists it as uncharacterized. NCBI's taxonomy places the organism in Eukaryota, Metazoa, Chordata, Aves, Casuariiformes, Dromaiidae. The transcript is spliced from 3 exons. The record is from RefSeq and is a predicted model, not a curated record.